ACCCGCUGAACUUAAGCAUAUCAAUAAGCGGAGGAAAAGAAACCAACAGGGAUUGCCCUAGUAACGGCGAGUGAAGCGGCAACAGCUCAAAUUUGAAAUCUGGCUCUUUUAGAGUCCGAGUUGUAAUUUGCAGAGGGCGCUUUGGCUUUGGCAGCGGUCCAAGUUCCUUGGAACAGGACGUCACAGAGGGUGAGAAUCCCGUACGUGGUCGCUGGCUAUUGCCGUGUAAAGCCCCUUCGACGAGUCGAGUUGUUUGGGAAUGCAGCUCUAAAUGGGAGGUACAUUUCUUCUAAAGCUGAAUAUUGGCCAGAGACCGAUAGCGCACAAGUAGAGUGAUCGAAAGAUGAAAGGCACUUUGGAAAGAGAGUCAAACAGCACGUGAAAUUGUUGAAAGGGAAGCGCUUGCAGCCAGACUUGCUUACAGUUGCUCAUCCGGGCUUUUGCCCGGUGCACUCUUCUGUAGGCAGGCCAGCAUCAGUUUGGGCGGUAGGAUAAAGGUCUCUGUCACGUACCUCUCUUCGGGGAGGCCUUAUAGGGGAGACGACAUACUACCAGCCUGGACUGAGGUCCGCGCAUCUGCUAGGAUGCUGGCGUGAUGGCUGU
RNAcentral lists this ribosomal RNA (603 nucleotides) under uncultured fungus. Its description in RNAcentral is "eukaryotic LSU rRNA". It matches the Rfam family "Eukaryotic large subunit ribosomal RNA", at positions 23 to 641 of the family's 3401-position model. The record is from RNAcentral. Lineage: Eukaryota; Fungi.